UACGGGGGGAGCAAGCGUUGUUCGGAUUUACUGGGCGUAAAGCGCACGUAGGCGGCUUUCUAAGUCAGGGGUGAAAUCCUGGAGCUCAACUCCAGAACUGCCCUUGAUACUGGAGAGCUUGAGUUCGGGAGAGGUGAGUGGAACUGCGAGUGUAGAGGUGAAAUUCGUAGAUAUUCGCAAGAACACCAGUGGCGAAGGCGGCUCACUGGCCCGAUACUGACGCUGAGGUGCGAAAGCGUGGGGAGCAAACAGG
RNAcentral lists this ribosomal RNA (253 nucleotides) under uncultured bacterium. RNAcentral describes it as "partial 16S ribosomal RNA". It matches the Rfam family "Bacterial small subunit ribosomal RNA", at positions 524 to 776 of the family's 1533-position model. The record is from RNAcentral.